GCCAGGCAUGGUGAUGCGUGCCUGUAGUCCCAGCUACUCGGGAGGCUGAGGCAGGAGGAUCACUUGAGUCCAGGAGUUCAAGCCUUCAGUGAGCCAUUUUUGCACCACUGCACUCCAGCCUGGGUGACAGAGUGAGACUCUGUCUCUC
Molecule: unclassified non-coding RNA, 148 nt
Organism: Pongo abelii (Sumatran orangutan)
Lineage: Eukaryota; Metazoa; Chordata; Mammalia; Primates; Hominidae
Rfam family: Metazoan signal recognition particle RNA
About the family: The signal recognition particle (SRP) is a universally conserved ribonucleoprotein. It is involved in the co-translational targeting of proteins to membranes. The eukaryotic SRP consists of a 300-nucleotide 7S RNA and six proteins: SRPs 72, 68, 54, 19, 14, and 9.
Source: Ensembl